GCCAGGUGUGGUGGUGCACGCCUGUAAUCCUAGCUACUUGGGAGGCUGAGGCAGGAGAAUUGCUUGAGCCCGGGGAGGUGGAGGUUGCAGUGAGCUGAGAUCGUGCCACUGCACUCCAGCCUGGGUGACAGAGGGAGACCCUGUCUCAA
Molecule: non-coding RNA, 149 nt
Filed under: Pan troglodytes (chimpanzee)
Lineage: Eukaryota; Metazoa; Chordata; Mammalia; Primates; Hominidae
Source: Rfam by way of RNAcentral